CUCGGAGUAACUCAAAUAGGAUGGCAGAGUUGUUCCUUUCCAUUUUCUACAGAUCCCGCCUGAAAAUGCAUGCGCCUUGCAGGUGACACUGUUGCAAGAAGAAAUAAUGACAUUCCUUUCCAUAUUCAACAAAAGGUGAAUCCAGAGGUCGGGACAUCAGAAAGGCCUGGGUGAGCCACGUCAGCCGCGCCGGUUAAAAUUACUUUAAAACCUAGAUCACCUGUUAUAAAUGAGAGGCAAUAUCCCCUCCACAAGGAAGCUUUGGAAGCGAUCGCACUACUGCUGCAUUGGUACAUACAAACUGGACUUUUAAAAUUUUGCCAGUUUCUAUACAAAACCCCUAUCUUACCGGUGUUGAAACCAGGGACAAGAGAAUAUGGGUCUGUUCAAGACCUAUGGAAAGUCAACCAAGUAGUAGAGGACAUUCACCCGAUUGUGCCAACCCAUAUACCCUCUUGGUUACUAUAGCCAGUUAAUGUGCUCGGUUUUCAGUACUGGACUUGAAAGAUGCCUUCUUUUGUAAUCCUCUACACCCCGAGUCUCAGCCUCUAUCUGCCAUUGAAUGGACUGAUAUUAAAACAGGGAAUUGCUGUGGGGGUACUAUCUCAAACCUUGGGACCAGCCAGGCGACAGUGGCCUACUUUUCAAAACAGCUGGACAACGUGGCCAGGGAUGGCCCCCUUGUCUUCGAGCCGUGGCUGCAACAUGUGACCUGUUACAGAAAGACGAGAAAUUUACCCUUGGAAAAAGUUCCAACCCGGAGAUCGGAGGUGAAGUCCUGUGGAAAACCUGGAAGAAUCAAACCCCGGGAGAUCAACUGGCCCCUCAGUGAGAGGAACUUUUUGAAGUUCUCCUGACCACCCACUCGUCUCUGAAAUUAACAGAAGUAGCUGUGUGCACGCAUCCCUCAAGAGUGAAAACAGCCCCACCAAAAGAAGAGAAAGAAGCAGACAACAGAGAGCCACCGUACUCUUGUACUCCAAUUCAGGGCCUGAAGUGCAAGUUCAAGAAGCUUACAUUCCAGUCUCUACAAAAGGUUUAAGAUUUACCAACCUACCUCCUUGGAGGGUGG
Long non-coding RNA from Trichechus manatus latirostris (Florida manatee), 1072 nucleotides. RefSeq lists it as uncharacterized. NCBI's taxonomy places the organism in Eukaryota, Metazoa, Chordata, Mammalia, Sirenia, Trichechidae. The transcript is spliced from 3 exons. The record is from RefSeq and is a predicted model, not a curated record.